AAGAAUAAACGUUUGAUAUUAAGCACAAAAACAUAUUACAUGAAUAUAAAUAUGGACUCCUAAAAUAAACUUCUAAGAAUCUGGAGACUUCCCUUUAUUAUGUGCUAUCCUAUUUUAUCCUAUCUUCUAGUGUACUCCCCCUUAGUACAUGCUCCUAGAUGCCGACAUGUCUACGCUCUUUCUCCCCCUUUUUUGAUAAACAUCAAAAUGGGUGAAAGAAGAGACAUCACAAACCAACACAGGAGAAGGAAUGAAAGAGAAGUAAGGGUUGAAGAGGGUUUAAAUGUACAUAGAAAGGUUAAGGGUAAAGAGAGAGGGGAUGGAAGGAGUGGGUUGGAAGUUGGGUAAGGUGAGGUUUGGUCGUGAAGAGGGUGGGUUAGAUUGAAGAACUACUUGCGCAUGACAUGUAAGUUCUGAAUACAAGAGUAGGAAGGAAUGUUGGAUUAUCAUAUUCAUCUUGGUUCGCUGAUCCGAUGAGAUGAUGAUAAUAAUCUAGAGGUUUGGAGGAGGACUUCAUUGGUUUUGAAUGUUGAGAGUUUGAGAGAUCAGAGACAUGGGAAAUUAUGAGGGCAAGAGAGAAAGAGAGUUAGGGUUUUUGAAAGACUGUGUUGAGAAUUGAAAGAGUAUAGUCGAGUUAAAUAGAGGGAAAAAUUUAGUCAUUCGCGAUUGAUUUGUCUCGUCCAUUUAAUGCGCUUCAUACGAAUAUAUUAUGAAAAGGGAUGUUAUAUCUCUUGAAGACGGAGAAAUUUUGGAAUGGAGUGUAGGGUGCAACGGAUGAGAAUGAGAAGAGUGGUGGAGUUAGAAGUUUUGUUGUUUUGAGGAAGAGAGAGGAUAGGGAAUUAAUGUUAAGAGUGAUGACUUGAUUAACACACAGAAGUAUUUGGCAGAUUAGAAAUAAAACGUUUGGGGUUUUGAAAAUCCUAGAGAACUUCUAGAGAUGGACUCAGUAUUUAUAUAUAACUUAAUGCAUGGUUGCAGAUGUCUUAUAGACAAUUUAUCUUAGAUGAUGCAAUGUAUGACGUCAUACAGAGUAUGUGUCUUAGACGUUUGACUCUCUA
RNAcentral lists this long non-coding RNA (1058 nucleotides) under Vigna radiata. Its description in RNAcentral is "long non-coding RNA (VRAD_LNC006433)". The record is from RNAcentral. Lineage: Eukaryota; Viridiplantae; Streptophyta; Magnoliopsida; Fabales; Fabaceae.